Coffea arabica (coffee) is the source of this 4389-nucleotide RNA transcript. It is a transcript of the gene named PH, RCC1 and FYVE domains-containing protein 1, with no coding region annotated. The record is from RefSeq and is a predicted model, not a curated record. NCBI's taxonomy places the organism in Eukaryota, Viridiplantae, Streptophyta, Magnoliopsida, Gentianales, Rubiaceae.
UCGUCCUUUACUCCUGUUACUGUACUAUACUUCUUUCAAGUCCACCUGUGUCUUCUCUCUCUCCUCAGUAGAUCAUCCACUUAUACCGGACACCGCUUCCCCACCCCUCGCCCUCCCCCCUCCCCAAAAACAAUCCCCAGUCUCCUUUUCUGCAUUUUUUUAGCUACUUACAAUACAACUCAUUCAUUCCCCACAGAUCAAUAUUCACUCCAUUCCCCUUUUUCCUCACUUCGUUUAGAUUUAUAUUCUCAGCUCCACAUUUUUUUCACACACUAACGGUGUCACUGCGUCGGUCUGUCACUCCGUCAGUAAGUCAGACAGACACCUGCAGCCGCAGAGCAGCCAAUCCUAGAAAUCAAUUGAUUGAGAAUGAACUGUGGUGUAAAAGUUGCUGCAUUUUUACAGCUGUAAAGAGCUACUGCAGUUGAUGGAGUUACUGUAGUUGAAGAAGAUCGAUAAUCGAAUUAGUUCUACUUUUUUUUUUUAUUUAAUUUUUUUGGGUGAUUAGAUAUUAUAUUCAGCGUGAAGGCGAAUAUUGGACACUGAGAAUAGCGGUUGGGGGUUUAUUAAUUGAAGUGAAUUUGCGUGUAGAAAAAGGAUAUGGCGUAUGAAUGGGAGGAUUUGGAGAUUGGGGGUUAUGAGGAAGAGGAGAUUUAGGGCUUUAUUUUAAGAGCUGCUCUUUGAUGCCUCGUCGGGAUAGGAUGAAUUCAGAUGUUAGCAGAACUGGGGGACCGGUCGAAAGAGACAUUGAGCAGGCUAUCACUGCUCUUAAGAAAGGUGCAUAUUUGCUGAAGUAUGGAAGAAGAGGAAAACCUAAAUUUUGUCCUUUCCGGUUGGCAAAUGAUGAGUCUGUUCUGAUGUGGCUUUCGGGGAAAGAGGAGAAGCACCUCAAACUAAGUCACGUGUCCAGGAUUAUUUCCGGUCAGCGUACUCCGAUUUUCCAAAGGUACCCACGACCAGAGAAGGAGUAUCAGUCUUUUUCCCUCAUAUAUAGUGACAGAUCUCUUGAUUUGAUUUGCAAGGAUAAAGAUGAAGCAGAAGUAUGGUUUAGUGGUCUAAAGGCAUUAAUUUCACGUAGUCAUCAGAGAAAAUGGAGAACAGAAUCAAGGAGUGAUGGGGUUUCAUCUGAAGCUAAUAGUCCUCGAACGUACACAAGGAGAAGUUCACCAUUACAUUCUCCAUUUGGUAGUGGUGACAGCUUACAGAAGGAUGGUAACGAUCAAUUUCGCCUUCAUAGCCCAUACGAUAGUCCCCCUAAGAAUGGUAUGGAUAAAGCUUUCUCAGAUGUAAUAUUGUACACCAUGCCACCGAGGGGUUUCUUUCCCUCAGAUUCUGCUAGUGGUUCUGUCCACUCCUUGUCUUCGGGUUCGGAUGGCUUACAUGGUCAGAUGAAGGCAAUGGGAAUGGAUGCCUUCAGGGUGAGCCUUUCUAGUGCCGUUAGCUCAUCAAGUCAAGGAUCUGGUCAUGAUGAUGGUGAUGCAUUGGGUGAUGUUUUUAUUUGGGGUGAAGGCACUGGAGAUGGUGUCCUUGGUGGUGUGCCUCACAGAAUUGGCGGUUGUUUUGGUAAUAAAUUGGAUUCUUUACUGCCUAAAGCUUUAGAAUCUGCAGUGGUACUCGAUGUUCAGAAUAUAGCCUGUGGUGGACGUCAUGCUGCCCUUGUAACAAAGCAAGGGGGGAUAUUCUCUUGGGGUGAGGAGUCUGGGGGUAGGCUUGGGCAUGGUGUAGAUUCAGAUGUUUUGCAGCCAAAGCUUAUUGAUGGCCUCAGCAACACAAACAUUGAGCUUGUUGCAUGUGGAGAACGUCACACUUGUGCUGUAACACUUUCUGGUGACCUGUACACAUGGGGUGAUGGUCAUUUUGGUCUUCUUGGGCAUGGUAAUGAAGUGAGCCAUUGGGUCCCAAAAAGAGUAAAUGGGCCAUUAGAGGGAAUACAUGUUUCAUCAAUCUCCUGUGGGCCCUGGCAUACCGCUGUUGUGACCUCUGCUGGGCAAUUGUUUACCUUUGGUGAUGGAACUUUUGGGGUUCUUGGUCAUGGGGAUCGCAGAAGUAUUUCAAGACCUAGGGAAGUGGAAUCUCUUAAGGGACUCCGAACUGUACGAGCUGCUUGUGGUGUUUGGCAUACUGCUGCAGUUGUCGAAGUUAUGGUUGGAAAUUCAAGUUCCAGCAAUUGUUCUUCGGGUAAACUAUUCACUUGGGGAGAUGGGGAUAAAGGAAGACUUGGGCAUGGUGAUAAGGAACCAAAACUUGUCCCUACCUGUGUUGCUGCCCUUGUUGACCCUAAUUUUUGUCAGGUUGCUUGUGGACAUAGCCUGACUGUUGCUCUUACAACCUCUGGUCAUGUAUACACUAUGGGCAGUCCUGUUUAUGGCCAGCUAGGAAAUCCUCAGGCUGAUGGAAAGCUCCCAUGCCGUGUUGAAGGAAAACUUGCUAAGAGUUUUGUGGAGGAGAUAGCUUGUGGUGCCUAUCAUGUGGCGGUUUUGACUUCAAGGACUGAAGUUUAUACAUGGGGAAAAGGAGCAAAUGGUAGGUUGGGCCAUGGGGAUACAGAUGACAGAAAUUUUCCCACGUUACUAGAAGCCUUAAAAGACAAGCAAGUCAAAAGUGUUGGUUGUGGUACUAAUUUCACUGCUGCCAUUUGCCUUCACAAGGGGUUCUCCGGGGUUGAUCAAUCUAUGUGUUCUGGCUGCCGUCUACCAUUUAAUUUUAAAAGAAAGCGCCAUAAUUGCUAUAAUUGUGGACUUGUAUUUUGUCAUUCAUGCAGCAGUAAGAAGUCACUCAGGGCUUCUUCGGCACCGAAUCCCAAUAAACCUUAUCGUGUCUGUGACAAUUGCUUCAGUAAAUUGAAGAAAUCUAUUGAAACUGAUGCUUCAUCUCAUUCUUCAGCGGGCAGGAGAGGAAGCAUAAAUCAGGGAUUAAGCGAUAUUAUUGACAAAGAUGAAAAAGUGGAUGCCAAGUCUCGUCCUCAUCUUGCUAGGUUUUCUUCAAUGGAAUCAUUAAAACAAGUGGAAAGCCGCUCUUCCAAGCGAAACAAAAAAUUAGAAUUCAAUAGCAGCCGUGUAUCACCUAUUCCAAAUGGAAAUUCCCAAUGGGGAGCACUCAAUAUCUCUAAAUCUUUUACUGGAUCAUCCAAAAAGUUUUUCUCAGCAUCUGUUCCUGGAUCAAGAAUUGUUUCACGAGCAACAUCACCAAUAUCUAGACGGCCUAGUCCACCUCGUUCUACUACUCCAACUCCAACUUUGGGGGGGCUUACAUCACCGAAAGUUGUUUUGGAUGAUGCAAAAAUGACGAAUGAUGGUCUUAGUCAAGAAGUUAUUAAGUUAAGAGCUCAGGUGGAAAAUCUUACUCGUAAGGCUCAACUUCAAGAAAUAGAGCUGGAACGAACUAAUAAGCAGCUGAAGGAGGCAAUAGCAAUUGCUGGGGAAGAAAGUGCAAAAUGCAAAGCUGCUAAAGAAGUAAUAAAGUCACUUACUGCUCAGCUGAAGGAAAUGGCGGAAAGGCUUCCUGUUGGUGCUGCCAGAAACAUCAAAUCUCCUCCCUUGACUUCACUGGGUUCUAAUCCUAUCUCUGGUGAUGUUCCAAAUGCUUCUACUGACAAAUUGCAUGGUCCAGCAUCUGGCCUAGAACUGGAAUCCAAUGGAGUAAAUAAUCAGUUACUUCCCAAUGGAUCUAGUACCAACAGUACUCGUAGUUCUGGUCACAACAAACAAGGGCAUUCAGAAGCAGCUGCAAGAAAUGGGGGCAGAACAAGAGAAGGUGAUUGUCGUAAUGAAAACGAAUGGGUGGAGCAAGAUGAACCUGGUGUUUAUAUCACACUUACCUCCUUACCUGGAGGUGCAAAAGAUCUUAAGCGAGUACGCUUCAGCCGGAAGCGGUUCAGUGAGAAGGAAGCAGAACUUUGGUGGGCAGAAAAUCGGGCAAGAGUAUAUGAACAGUACAAUGUACGCAUGGUUGACAAGUCAAGCAUUGGUGUAGGAAGUGAGGACUUAGCACAUUGACAUGUCGAUACAUCAUAUGUAUAUGCUGUCUCUUUUCUUUACCUUUUCUACGUUACUUCCAGUCAUAUAGGGAAGAUCAUAUUGAUUGGUAGGAUUGGCUUUCUUUUCACUAAGCGUUGGAAGCAAAAAGUUUGCCUUACCAGGAUAGAGCAGUAGAGAUGACACAAUGUGUGGGGGAUGAGGGUGAGAAAUGUAAAGUUCUAGUAGGCUGCUGGCUCUUGUUGGGAGCAGCUUCCUUGUAAAUUCCACAAGCAAAUGUAUCUUUAAUUUUCUUGCUCAUCUUCCUCCUUCACUUCAUUUGGUUUAGUUGCAGGUGUUGUAUGGUUAUUGCUGUUCCUUGUGAAAUUUCUCUUUUUGAUUAUAUUCGGAGCGCCAUGAUGUCUGUAUUUAUUUA